GAUGAACGCUAGCGGCAGGCUUAAUACAUGCAAGUCGAACGGUAAGCUUGGUAGCAAUACUAAGUCAAGAGUGACGUACGGGUGCGUAACACGUAUGCAACCUACCUUGUACAGGAGGAUAGCUCGGGGAAACUCGAAUUAACCCUCCAUGAGAUAGUAGUGAGGCAUCUCACAGUUAUUAAAACUCAGGUGGUACAAGAUGGGCAUGCGUCUGAUUAGAGUUUGGCGGGGUAAUGGCCCACCAAGACGAUGAUCAGUAGGGGACCGUGA
This 270-nucleotide ribosomal RNA is filed under the name uncultured bacterium. RNAcentral describes it as "partial 16S ribosomal RNA". It matches the Rfam family "Bacterial small subunit ribosomal RNA", at positions 28 to 297 of the family's 1533-position model. The record is from RNAcentral.